This 253-nucleotide ribosomal RNA is filed under the name uncultured bacterium. RNAcentral describes it as "partial 16S ribosomal RNA". It matches the Rfam family "Bacterial small subunit ribosomal RNA", at positions 524 to 776 of the family's 1533-position model. The record is from RNAcentral.
UACGAAGGGGGCUAGCGUUGCUCGGAAUCACUGGGCGUAAAGCGCACGUAGGCGGCUUUCUAAGUCGGGGGUGAAAUCCUGGAGCUCAACUCCAGAACUGCCUUCGAUACUGGAGAGCUCGAGUCCGGGAGAGGUGAGUGGAACUGCGAGUGUAGAGGUGAAAUUCGUAGAUAUUCGCAAGAACACCAGUGGCGAAGGCGGCUCACUGGCCCGGUACUGACGCUGAGGUGCGAAAGCGUGGGGAGCAAACGGG